RNAcentral lists this small nuclear RNA (112 nucleotides) under Microtus ochrogaster (prairie vole). Its description in RNAcentral is "U1 spliceosomal RNA (ENSMOCG00000007326.1)". It matches the Rfam family "U1 spliceosomal RNA", at positions 1 to 113 of the family's 166-position model. From Rfam's summary of the family: U1 is a small nuclear RNA (snRNA) component of the spliceosome (involved in pre-mRNA splicing). Its 5' end forms complementary base pairs with the 5' splice junction, thus defining the 5' donor site of an intron. The record is from RNAcentral. Lineage: Eukaryota; Metazoa; Chordata; Mammalia; Rodentia; Cricetidae.
AUACUUACCUGGCAAGAAAGAUGCCAUGAUCACAAAGGUGACUUUCCCAAGGUGAAGCUUACCCUUUGCACUUUGGAUGUGCUGACCUACAUAACCCCCUCUUCCUAAAAGA